AGAGCGAACGCUGGCGGCAGGCUUAACACAUGCAAGUCGAGCGCCCCGCAAGGGGAGCGGCAGACGGGUGAGUAACGCGUGGGAACGUACCUUUUGGUUCGGAACAACACAGGGAAACUUGUGCUAAUACCGGAUAAGCCCUUACGGGGAAAGAUUUAUCGCCGAAAGAUCGGCCCGCGUCUGAUUAGCUAGUUGGUGAGGUAACGGCUCACCAAGGCGACGAUCAGUAGCUGGUCUGAGAGGAUGAUCAGCCACAUUGGGACUGAGACACGGCCCAAACUCCUACGGGAGGCAGCAGUGGGGAAUAUUGGACAAUGGGCGCAAGCCUGAUCCAGCCAUGCCGCGUGAGUGAUGAAGGCCCUAGGGUUGUAAAGCUACUUUUAACGGGGAAGAUAAUGACGGUACCCGUAGAAUAAGCCCGGCUAACUUCGCGCCAGCAGCCGC
Molecule: ribosomal RNA, 444 nt
Filed under: uncultured bacterium
Lineage: Bacteria
Description: SSU rRNA
Rfam family: Bacterial small subunit ribosomal RNA
Source: RNAcentral